ACCAUAAAGGAGCUGCUGGAAACAGGCAAACUUGCCUCCAAUUGUCCGAGCCUCACGUCACGGAAAGAGUUGAAGCGCUUUGAGGAACACACUCAAAGGAUAACCUUAAAAAAGCGGACCUUGGUGGAUGUUGAGAAUCUCUAAAAGCGGAGUGUUCUCUUCUUUCUUCACAACUUUGCGGGGCUUCACUGAAGAUGCGCAGGAACCUGUUUACGAGGAAAACGCAGGAAGUUUGAGUCUGAGGGAAUCCGGUACGGGCUGAAAAUGCACAAGGAUACCAUUACUCAUCCGUCUGUUUUUGUCCGCGCCGGACCACUUUAUCCUGGAAAUAUGUUUGUCUCUGAUGGCUUUUAGGAUCCUGGGUGAAGCUCAAGAGUGAUAAAUGAACAUCACGUUCAGAAAGCGCAGCUUAGAGAGGAUUCUACUCAUCGACAGAGCUGUUGGAGGAGGACUCAGAUGAAAACAGCUUUGAUUUUAAUCAUAUUGUUUUUAUGUUGACGCAGACACAUAUUGCUUGCAUAUUGAGGAGUUAUAGCUUAAAGGUAGGCUACAACGCAGUAAGAGCAGUGUCCUAAAUGGGCUGAUGAUGUUUAAUGUGAUAUAGACUUCAAAACAAAAUAGAUGUUGUUGUUUGAAACUAGGCUUUAGAAGAUUAUUUUAACUUAAGUCAUACUCUGCAGUAUUACUAUAGGCGGUAGUCAUAUGUUUCCAUGCAGUAUAAAGUAGACAGUGCCAAUCAAGGCAUUAUGUGCAUGUAGAGGUUAAAGGUUUGGGAGCCACUUGUGUUUCAACAUGUCAGUAAAAGGUGUUGCUAUUUACACUUUUCUAAGUGAAAACAAGGAGGAGAUCAACAUCCAGGAGAAUGAGGAAGUGGUUAUCUUUGACGAGAACUCUGUGGAUGGUUGGGUCUUGGGGGAAAACAGCAGAGGGGAGCGGGGUCUCUUUCCUAAAUCUUAUGUGAACAUCAUUCGCCCUCGCUCGGACUCCAACGUGACUGACUGCUCCAUAAGCCCGGCAGGCUCUUUAGGAAAUGACUCCCCCCAUCUACCAUCUACACCAAACACAUCCAUUAAUUCGGGACAGAUUUAUGACGAAGACUACUACGAUGACUGGGAUGACUGGGACGACAGAUCCACAGUGGUGGAUGAUGCUGAUCACAGUAACACUAGCACUACUGGAGCUAAUGGACAUAUCUUUCAGGCCCCACCAUCAAAUAAUCCCAACGUGCAUUACCGGAGCAAAUCAGUCUCCGGACAAGACAGCAUGGCCAGCGCCAGGAAGGGUAGCAUGGUGGGCAGAAACUUGAACAGAUUUUCCAGCUUUGUUCGCUCAGGGGUGGAGGCGUUUGUGCUUGGUGAUGUCCCCAUGAUGGCAAAGAUUGCAGAGUCAUAUACCAUUGAGAUGGGUUCACUGGGACCUCAAUGGAAGGCAAAUCCAAGGCCAUUCAUCUGCUCUAUUGAAGACCCAACCAAACAGACAAAGUUCAAGGGUAUCAAGACCUACAUAUCGUACCGAGUGACGCCGAGCCACAUAGGCCGGCCAGUUUACAGACGAUACAAACACUUUGACUGGUUGUACAACCGUUUGUUGCACAAGUUCACUGUGAUCUCUGUGCCUCACCUCCCUGAGAAGCAGGCCACUGGUCGGUUCGAGGAAGACUUCAUCGAGAAGCGUAAGAGGCGACUGAUACUGUGGAUGAACCACAUGACCAGCCACCCAGUCCUCUCGCAGUAUGAAGGCUUUGAGCACUUUCUGAUGUGUGGUGAUGAUAAGCAGUGGAAACUGGGUAAGAGGCGGGCAGAGAAGGACGAGAUGGUGGGAGCCCAUUUCAUGCUGACCCUUCAGAUCCCCAACGAACACCAGGACCUUCAGGACGUCGAGGAGAGGGUUGACAACUUCAAGACUUUCGCCAAGAAAAUGGACGACAGUGUGAUGCAGCUCACGCACGUUGCCUCAGAGCUCGUCCGUAAGCACCUGGGCGGGUUCAGGAAGGAGUUCCAGCGACUUGGGAAUGCCUUCCAGUCUAUUAGCCAGGCUUUCACACUGGACCCACCCUACAAGUCAGAUGCCCUCAACAACGCCAUCUCCCACACUGGCCGCACCUAUGAAAACAUCGGAGAGAUGUUUGCAGAGCAACCUAAGUAUGACCUCUUCCAGAUGUUGGAUAAGCUCUCGCUCUAUCAAGGCCUGCUCGCCAACUUCCCGGACAUUAUUCAUCUACAGAAAGGCGCCUUCGCCAAGGUGAAGGAGAGCCAGCGGAUGAGUGACGAGGGGAAGAUGGACCAGGACGAAGCGGACGGGAUCAGGAAACGGUGCCGGACUGUGGGCUUUGCCCUCCAAGCAGAAAUGAGCCACUUCCAUCAGCAGCGAGAGGUGGACUUCAAAGACAUGAUGCAAGCCUACCUCAGGGAGCAGAUAGCCUUUUACCAGCGUGUCGGCCAGCAACUGGAGCGCACCCUGCGCAUGUACGACGGCCUUUGAACACUCCAGACUCACUCCACAUGCCAAAACUUCAAGAAGCAAAGAAUGAAUUUUGACUCUAUUUUUUAUAUAUAUAUAUAUAUAUAUAUGUAUAUCAGGGUGCUUGGUAUAGACGGAAAAGAAGACCCGGUAGUUACUGAAGCGAUGCACAAAGCCAGUCAUUAAUUCACCCUGAUGGAUUCAAAGAAACGUUUUUAAAAAGACCUACUGUAUCUUUUAUAUCUAAAGUACACUUCAAAUAGGCAAAGUCAGUAUAUUUUAUAGAAUUUAAGUUGUUUAUGACAAUGAAAAUUAAAAGUACAGGUUAGACAUUGUACACAUUCAAAGUGGGGAUGCACAUAAAUGAAGCCAUAAAGCGGGUCCUGUACUUUUAUUUUCCCGUCUCUUAAAGAGAUCCAUGAAUAGUUGUAUCAAUAGACUUUUAUUUCACAUGGAAAAACAAUAUAGUAAAAAGUUGUAGAGUAUAGUUUUUUACAUCUGCUUAGUUCCUACAAAUUUAAAUAAAAUAUUGCCACACGGACGUCGCCAUAUUGUUUACACCGCAUUGCAUUCUGGGUAGAAUGACAUAUGCUUGGUCCUACACCGCUAGCUCCGAACAGUAAUUUUUGCGCUAUAAACAACGUUGGGUUUUGUUUCAGCUUGAACUGAAGCGCGAUUAAACGGAAGGUAAUGGAGAAAUGACAAGAGGAAAUGAAGAUGAGGAGGCGCAAACAGAGGAAGAGAUGCUCCGAGGGCAAACGGAGAAGGUUAAAAGAACGAGGUGGACGGGACGGCGCUGUUGAUGCCGAGCUUGUUGAGCCGCUUAAAGAAAAUAAAAUAAAUCUGCGGCCAGUCAACGAAGGUGACUCGACGUUACGGAGAAGUGGUUUCCCCUCCACACACCUGCUGUGCAGAGAAUACGCUAACAUUCACGGUCGGCUACAGACACGGAGAUCUCGAGUUUUCACCGUUCUCAACAAGAGCUGAAAGCGUCUGCACAGCUUCAUUCAGGCCACGAUUACGUGUGUCAAUAUUUGUCAAGAAAAGUCUGAAUUUCUUCUCGGGACGGAGUGACGCUUCCACCUCACAGAAAGGAUGGAGAGAGCGACAAUUAUGUUUCACCAAAUCCAAACGGGAGCACACAAAGUUUGAAACAUCCUCCUGCGGUCGUUCGGGACAAUGGGAAAGUGAUCCUGAGGAGAACCUCGGGAAUGCGUUUCUGGCCGUAAAGCGACGGGACGCUCCGGGGUCACACGCGGUCAGGUUGACCAUCUCUGGCUCAUCUCAGUUUCCCUCAAAGGGCUCGACUGACAGUGUGGUGCAUCAGGUUGCAUAGUUGGCUGCAGAACACAAAGGGAUCCCUCCCAUCAUCUAGCACAUUUUUUAUUUUUUUUUGUCGGUUUUGGCCGAUCACUUGUUGAUUUCAUAAAGGCUCUGCUGCUGUCAGCAGCUAAAAGAUUCACACUCUUCUCUCUCAACUCUCAUUCUUUCCAUCCACACGUGGGGAAGGGGGAGGAUUUUGCUAUUUACUUCAUUUCUUUGCUUCAAAGCAAAGAAAUGAAGCAUAUAAUUGUUUUCGAGCUCGCUCUUCUGGAUUUCUUAUGAAAUGUGGAGAAUGUCUGGAGCUGGAAAUAUGUGUUUGGUGGGAAACCAUGAAUUGCCUUUUAUUGGCAAAGAAAAAUGAGAUCUGACGACUGAACAUGGACAGAAAAAGGCUGUUAUGGUGUAACAUAACAGGAUAGAUGCAUCAUGAAGGAGUUUCAGCUGCUGAA
Molecule: RNA transcript, 4232 nt
Organism: Gambusia affinis (western mosquitofish)
Lineage: Eukaryota; Metazoa; Chordata; Actinopteri; Cyprinodontiformes; Poeciliidae
Gene: snx33
Gene name: sorting nexin 33
Exons: 5
Source: RefSeq, a predicted model, not a curated record